RNAcentral lists this ribosomal RNA (404 nucleotides) under Celatoblatta shelfordi. RNAcentral's name for it is "partial large subunit ribosomal RNA". The stretch from base 1 to 193 matches the Rfam family "Archaeal large subunit ribosomal RNA", at positions 1911 to 2143 of the family's 2987-position model. Lineage: Eukaryota; Metazoa; Arthropoda; Insecta; Blattodea; Blattidae. The record is from RNAcentral.
CUCUUCUUGUUUUAAAUAAUUUGAAGUAUAACCUGCCCACUGAAGUUGAAUUUUGAAGGGCCGCGGUAUUUUGACCGUGCAAAGGUAGCAUAAUCAUUAGUCUUUUAAUUGAAGACUGGAAUGAAUGGUUGGACGAGGAAUAUACUGUUUCUUAUUAAUUUGUUGAAUUUAAAUAUUAAGUUAAAAUGCUUAAAUAUUAUUAUGGGACGAGAAGACCCUAUAGAGUUUAAUAUAUUAUUUUUAUUUUAGUUUGUAUUGUAAAUUUUAUUAUAAUUUUGAAUUUAUUUUGUUGGGGUGAUUAAAAGGGUUAUUAAGCUCUUUUUUUAAUGUAUAUAUUUAUUUAUAAAUGGUUGAUCCUAUUUUGUUGAUUAAAAGAUUAAAUUACCUUAGGGAUAACAGCGUAA